GCAGCGGUCACUUUCUGUUUCCGGUUGUAGGGGUGAGGCCGUUUCCGCAGAGGCAUUGGCGAGUUGUGAAUGUGUAGCUUCUGAAUUGCCCCGUCAGAGAUGAACAAAUAAACAUUAAAAAAAAAGAUGCUGGAUAAUUUUCAGAAUUUCCUAGUAAGGCCAGAGACCAGGCUCAGAAACCUCACCCACUAUCCUGCCCCAGAUCUGAUCCAGUGAAAACACCACCAGGCAUAAUUGCUACAGCUUCACGAUGCAGACACAAUGACCAUGGACAGGGACUGGGCGCCAGCACCAAAGCUGCUGCUCCGGGACACUGGUUUUGGCUGGUUUCUCUGCUCUCACUUGUGCCGGAAUGGAUGAAGUAUUUUCCUAAGAGUCCCUUUCUGGGGUGUUCCCUUUGGCUGGACUCCUUCUUGAAAUGGCCAAACCUGCCUGCCUCUCUCAAGAAGCACAGCAAGCCUUCGGGAACCCAGGAACUUGGGGCGUGCAAGCCAUUUGGAGCGCAGUCUUCUCUCCUCUUCUGUCUUCUCAAGGAGCUAGCCGCCGACAGUUUGUCUUCAGACUUUAGGAAGAAGUCAGACACCAGUCCCUUUGUUCCUGAAACUCCGCAGGCUGUAUCAAACUCCCCAGGUGGUCCUCUUGAAGCGCCCCCUCAUUUGGCACGAAGCAAAGAGGGAGCACCCUCCACCCUCCCCUGCUUGGGGAGAAGGGGAAACGUCCAGCAUACAGACAGCUACUUCCAAAGAAAUCCUCUGACAUUCUCUUCCAUAGCCUGAGGUGGAUGCCGAGCUAAUCCUUCCCAGUAUUGAGCUAGCGGUUCCCGGGGUCCAUUUCACAACCUCUUAGGGUGGGUGCAUAGGUGAUCUGGCUCCUCCUCCCUUUAGAAUGUGGACAGAUUGGCGCCUAUGGUUUUGUUCUCAGCCUUUGGGGUUUCUGGUGAAACUGACACAGAAAGAGUCCCGUUUUAGUAAAUGAAGUCACCAUUGUCAACCCCUCCUCCUUAUGGAACUCCUGUUCUUACAUCAGGACACCUGAUGCGCUGUAGGUGAUCUGCAAGAGUCUGACUUAUGAAAUGGACUGUGAAUGUACAGUUCAUGUAGAAUUAAGUACUA
Molecule: long non-coding RNA, 1112 nt
Organism: Lynx canadensis (Canada lynx)
Lineage: Eukaryota; Metazoa; Chordata; Mammalia; Carnivora; Felidae
Exons: 3
Source: RefSeq, a predicted model, not a curated record